CCUACGGGUGGCAGCAGUAGGGAAUAUUGGACAAUGGGCGCAAGCCUGAUCCAGCCAUCCCGCGUGAAGGAUUAAGGCCCUCUGGGUUGUAAACUUCUUUUCUUUGGGAAUAAAAACUCCGAUUCAUCGGAUCUUGAAGGUACCAGAGGAAUAAGCACCGGCUAACUCCGUGCCAGCAGCCGCGGUAAUACGGAGGGUGCAAGCGUUAUCGGGAUUCACUGGGGCUAAAGGGUGCGUAUAUGUCUGUGUUGAAAGCCCGGAGCUCAACUCCGGAACUGCCAUUGAUACUGCUUAGCUUGAGUCAGGUCGAGGUGGAUGGAAUAUUACAUGUAGCGGUGAAAUGCUUAGAUAUGUAAUAGAACACCGAUUGCGAAGGCAGUUCACUAGGCCUGUAUUGACACUGAGGCACGAAAGCGUGGGGAUCAAACAGGAUUAGAUACCCCUGUAGUC
This 450-nucleotide ribosomal RNA is filed under the name uncultured bacterium. Its description in RNAcentral is "partial 16S ribosomal RNA". It matches the Rfam family "Bacterial small subunit ribosomal RNA", at positions 338 to 795 of the family's 1533-position model. The record is from RNAcentral.